Molecule: long non-coding RNA, 176 nt
Filed under: Pogona vitticeps (central bearded dragon)
Lineage: Eukaryota; Metazoa; Chordata; Lepidosauria; Squamata; Agamidae
Description: lncRNA (ENSPVIG00000012835.1)
Source: RNAcentral
UCUACUGCUUCAGUCUCCCACUGCUGAGGCUUUUCUAUUUUAGUUGUUAAGGUCACAUGACCUUCUUAGCCAAUUACAGAAACAGAGAAGCCAUGGAAACUUCUUUCUGGGAUAAAAAAAAAUAUCAUAAUUGGGCUGAGGAAGAACGGGAUAAACCAAACAACAGGAAGAACUGA